GCCAAGACCUGAGAGAGUGUGAAACCAUAGCUGAGGAAAUAACAGACAAAGUUCAGAGAGGCUGUUGGUGAUACAGACAUGAAGGAGACAUGGCUGAGCAGCUGGAGAAGAUGGAAGAGACAGAGACCUAAAGUUUGAAAAAGUAAAACUGACGAGAGAAAUUGAUCAAUAUUCAGAAAAGCCUGUAACAUAGGAAAAGCAGACUGAAAAUUUUGGAAUUACAGAAGAUGUGAAAGAGUUAACAUUUUCAGUGGAGCCCUUUCAGAAGAUCUGGUUUGGUCUUGCACAAUAUCACAUCUUGGAAACAAGGUAUAAUAGGGCUACUUACACGUGAAAGAGUUAUAAUUAUACUUUGUCUCUAUACUGUGCUACAUCAUUCUUCAUAACAAGUUCUCUCUGUUCCUUAUCUUCUAUUUGACAUUUUAAAGC
Long non-coding RNA from Rhincodon typus (whale shark), 429 nucleotides. RefSeq lists it as uncharacterized. The record is from RefSeq and is a predicted model, not a curated record. Lineage: Eukaryota; Metazoa; Chordata; Chondrichthyes; Orectolobiformes; Rhincodontidae. The transcript has 3 exons.